RNAcentral lists this long non-coding RNA (533 nucleotides) under Homo sapiens (human). Its description in RNAcentral is "non-protein coding lnc-TMEM60-3:1". Lineage: Eukaryota; Metazoa; Chordata; Mammalia; Primates; Hominidae. The record is from RNAcentral.
CACGCAGCCCGCAAUGGGCAGGUCAACCUCACUGUGAGAAGAAAGGUGCUAUGUGGAGGGGAGCCCUGCCCAGAGAACGGGAGAAGUCCAGGCUCUGUAUCCACCCACCACAGCUCUCCACGCAGUGACUACGCAACCUACACCAACAGCAACCACGCUGCCCCCAGUAGCAAUGCCUCUCCCCCUGAAGGCUUCGCCUCCCACAGCCUGCAGACCAGUGAUGUGGUCAUUCACCGCAAAGAGAAUGAGGGCUUCGGCUUUGUCAUCAUCAGCUCCCUGAACAGGCCUGAGUCUGGAUCCACUAUAAGUAAGUGCUGAAAUUUGCCUGCAUUUGAAUAAGGGGUCUUGUUUUGAUUUGUUCCAGUGAUACAGAUACCGGACAAGUAUAUCAGAAGACUGUCACGGACAUACUGUAUAGCCUGAAAGCCACAGGCUGUGGGCACAAAUAAGGCAUCCAUACCACUGACUAGCAGACAGUUACUGACCUCUGGCUCAAGAAGAAGGCAAGAACACAACUAAUGCCCUCAACUCCU